UGGCGGGGGUGGCUUACCAUGCAGUCGAACGAUGAAGCCCAGCUUGCUGGGUGGAAGAGUGGCGAACGGGUGAGUAACACGUGAGCAACCUGCCCUUCACUCUGGGAUAAGCACUGGAAACGGUGUCUAAUACUGGAUAUGCACAAUGGCCGCAUGGUCUGUUGUGGGAAAGAUUUAUCGGUGAAGGAUGGGCUCGCGGCCUAUCAGCUUGUUGGUGAGGUAGUGGCUCACCAAGGCGACGACGGGUAGCCGGCCUGAGAGGGUGACCGGCCACACUGGGACUGAGACACGGCCCAGACUCCUACGGGAGGCAGCAGUGGGGAAUAUUGCACAAUGGGCGCAAGCCUGAUGCAGCAACGCCGCGUGAGGGAUGACGGCCUUCGGGUUGUAAACCUCUUUUAGUAGGGAAGAAGCGAAAGUGACGGUACCUGCAGAAAAAGCACCGGCUAACUACGUGCCAGCAGCCGCGGUAAUACGUAGGGUGCAAGCGUUGUCCGGAAUUAUUGGGCGUAAAGAGCUCGUAGGCGGCUUGUCGCGUCUGCUGUGAAAACCCGAGGCUCAACCUCGGGCCUGCAGUGGGUACGGGCAGGCUAGAGUGCGGUAGGGGAGAUUGGAAUUCCUGGUGUAGCGGUGGAAUGCGCAGAUAUCAGGAGGAACACCGAUGGCGAAGGCAGAUCUCUGGGCCGUAACUGACGCUGAGGAGCGAAAGCAUGGGGAGCGAACAGGAUUAGAUACCCUGGUAGUCCAUGCCGUAAACGUUGGGAACUAGAUGUAGGGCCUGUUCCACGGGUUCUGUGUCGUAGCUAACGCAUUAAGUUCCCCGCCUGGGGAGUACGGCCGCAAGGCUAAAACUCAAAGGAAUUGACGGGGGCCCGCACAAGCGGCGGAGCAUGCGGAUUAAUUCGAUGCAACGCGAAGAACCUUACCAAGGCUUGACUUAUACGAGAACGCUGUAGAAAUACGAACUCUUUGGACCUCGUAACAGGGGGGGAUGGUUGCCUCAACUCCGGCCUGAAAUGUCGGUUAGUCCGGC
Molecule: ribosomal RNA, 1033 nt
Filed under: Leucobacter chromiireducens
Lineage: Bacteria; Bacillati; Actinomycetota; Actinomycetes; Micrococcales; Microbacteriaceae
Description: bacterial SSU rRNA
Rfam family: Bacterial small subunit ribosomal RNA
Source: RNAcentral